UGGGGAAUCUUGCACAAUGGACGAAAGUCUGAUGCAGCAACGCCGCGUGGGGGAUGAAGCUUCUCGGAGUGUAAACCCCUUUCGACCCGGAAGAAAGCCCGCAAGGGUUUGACGGUACGGGUAUAAGAAGCCCCGGCUAACUACGUGCCAGCAGCCGCGGUAAUACGUAGGGGGCCAGCGUUGCUCGGAAUUACUGGGCGUAAAGGGUCCGUAGGCGGUGUGGCAAGUCGGGAGUGAAAUCCCUGGGCUUAACCCAGGGGCUGCUUCCGAAACUGCCGUGCUAGAGUGUGAGAGAGGCGAGUGGAAUUGCGGGUGUAGCGGUGAAAUGCGUAGAUAUCCGCAGGAACAUCUGAGGCGAAAGCGGCUCGCUGGAUCACAACUGACGCUGAGGGACGAAAGCUAGGGGAGCAAACAGGAUUAGAUACCCUGGUAGUCCUAGCCCUAAACCAUCAGGACUUGGGGUUUGCCCUGUACGGGGCAAGUCCCGUAGCUAACGCGUUAAGUCCUGCGCCUGGGGAGUACGGUCGCAAGACUG
RNAcentral lists this ribosomal RNA (535 nucleotides) under uncultured bacterium. RNAcentral's name for it is "bacterial SSU rRNA". It matches the Rfam family "Bacterial small subunit ribosomal RNA", at positions 355 to 896 of the family's 1533-position model. The record is from RNAcentral.